Molecule: ribosomal RNA, 453 nt
Filed under: uncultured Streptococcus sp.
Lineage: Bacteria; Bacillati; Bacillota; Bacilli; Lactobacillales; Streptococcaceae
Description: bacterial SSU rRNA
Rfam family: Bacterial small subunit ribosomal RNA
Source: RNAcentral
ACAAGCGGUGGAGCAUGUGGUUAAUUCGAAGCAACGCGAAGAACCUUACAGGUCUUGACAUCCCGAUGCUAUUUCUAGAGAUAGAAAGUUACUUCGGUACAUCGGUGACAGGUGGUGCAUGGUUGUCGUCAGCUCGUGUCGUGAGAUGUUGGGUUAAGUCCCGCAACGAGCGCAACCCCUAUUGUUAGUUGCCAUCAUUCAGUUGGGCACUCUAGCGGGACUGCCGGUAAUAAACCGGAGGAAGGUGGGAUGACGUCAAAUCAUCAUGCCCCUUAUGACCUGGGCUACACACGUGCUACAAUGGUUGGUACAACGAGUUGCGAGUCGGUGACGGCGAGCUAAUCUCUUAAAGCCAAUCUCAGUUCGGAUUGUAGGCUGCAACUCGCCUACAUGAAGUCGGAAUCGCUAGUAAUCGCGGAUCAGCACGCCGCGGUGAAUACGUUCCCGGGCCUU